ACUCCUACGGGAGGCAGCAGUGGGGAAUAUUGGACAAUGGACCAAAAGUCUGAUCCAGCAAUUCUGUGUGCACGAUGACGUUUUUCGGAAUGUAAAGUGCUUUCAGUUGGGAAGAAAAAAAUGACGGUACCAACAGAAGAAGUGACGGCUAAAUACGUGCCAGCAGCCGCGGUAAUACGUAUGUCACAAGCGUUAUCCGGAUUUAUUGGGCGUAAAGCGCGUCUAGGUGGUUAUGUAAGUCUGAUGUGAAAAUGCAGGGCUCAACUCUGUAUUGCGUUGGAAACUGCAUGACUAGAGUACUGGAGAGGUAAGCGGAACUACAAGUGUAGAGGUGAAAUUCGUAGAUAUUUGUAGGAAUGCCGAUGGGGAAGCCAGCUUACUGGACAGAUACUGACGCUAAAGCGCGAAAGCGUGGGUAGCAAACAGGAUUAGAAACCCCGGUAGUCCAGAAGUG
RNAcentral lists this ribosomal RNA (454 nucleotides) under uncultured bacterium. RNAcentral describes it as "bacterial SSU rRNA". It matches the Rfam family "Bacterial small subunit ribosomal RNA", at positions 335 to 804 of the family's 1533-position model. The record is from RNAcentral.